GGGGACGACAUGGCUUCGACGGGGGUCAAGGAAUCGAGGGUCGCAUGCCGAGGUUGUCUGGAACCUCGUUAAAUAUCCGGGCAAACAAUUUAAACGCAGACAACUAUGCGUAUGCUGUUGCUGCCUAAUUAAACACUAGGUAGCACGCUUGUGCCGAACGCGCCAUCCGGGAGGACACAAGCGACGACUCUGGUGGCUGGCUUCCCGCUGUGUCUGGGUGCGGGCGGCGAGAUUCUACAGGCUGGCGCGCGACGACCCUUGUUGAUUGAGGUCGCAAACGCGAGAUCGAUCAAUCAAAUAAACAUGUAGAAGCUCUCCUUGACUGACCUUCGGACGCGGGUUCGAUUCCCGCCGUCUCCACUG
Molecule: transfer-messenger RNA, 363 nt
Filed under: bacterium
Lineage: Bacteria
Also listed under: 1 other name
Description: JABWAN01 sp013361015 Standard tmRNA
Rfam family: transfer-messenger RNA
About the family: Bacterial tmRNA, also known as 10Sa RNA or SsrA, is named for its dual tRNA and mRNA-like properties. Its role is to liberate the mRNA from a stalled ribosome.
Source: RNAcentral